This 845-nucleotide ribosomal RNA is filed under the name Thermococcus sp. Gorda4. RNAcentral's name for it is "bacterial SSU rRNA". It matches the Rfam family "Archaeal small subunit ribosomal RNA", at positions 30 to 871 of the family's 1478-position model. Lineage: Archaea; Methanobacteriati; Methanobacteriota; Thermococci; Thermococcales; Thermococcaceae. The record is from RNAcentral.
CUAUGGGGGUCCGACUAAGCCAUGCGAGUCAUGGGGCGCCUUGCGCGCACCGGCGGACGGCUCAGUAACACGUCGGUAACCUACCCUCGGGAGGGGGAUAACCCCGGGAAACUGGGGCUAAUCCCCCAUAGGCCUGAGGUACUGGAAGGUCCUCAGGCCGAAAGGGGCUUCUGCCCGCCCGAGGAUGGGCCGGCGGCCGAUUAGGUAGUUGGUGGGGUAACGGCCCACCAAGCCGAAGAUCGGUACGGGCCAUGAGAGUGGGAGCCCGGAGAUGGACACUGAGACACGGGUCCAGGCCCUACGGGGCGCAGCAGGCGCGAAACCUCCGCAAUGCGGGAAACCGCGACGGGGGGACCCCCAGUGCCGUGGCAUCGCCACGGCUUUUCCGGAGUGUAAAAAGCUCCGGGAAUAAGGGCUGGGCAAGGCCGGUGGCAGCCGCCGCGGUAAUACCGGCGGCCCGAGUGGUGGCCGCUAUUAUUGGGCCUAAAGCGUCCGUAGCCGGGCCCGUAAGUCCCUGGCGAAAUCUCACGGCUCAACCGUGGGGCUUGCUGGGGAUACUGCGGGCCUUGGGACCGGGAGAGGCCGGGGGUACCCCUGGGGUAGGGGUGAAAUCCUAUAAUCCCAGGGGGACCGCCAGUGGCGAAGGCGCCCGGCUGGAACGGGUCCGACGGUGAGGGACGAAGGCCAGGGGAGCGAACCGGAUUAGAUACCCGGGUAGUCCUGGCUGUAAAGGAUGCGGGCUAGGUGUCGGGCGAGCUUCGAGCUCGCCCGGUGCCGAAGGGAAGCCGUUAAGCCCGCCGCCUGGGGAGUACGGCCGCAAGGCUGAAACUUAAAGGAAUUGGCGG